Catharus ustulatus (Swainson's thrush) is the source of this 609-nucleotide long non-coding RNA. RefSeq lists it as uncharacterized. The record is from RefSeq and is a predicted model, not a curated record. Lineage: Eukaryota; Metazoa; Chordata; Aves; Passeriformes; Turdidae. The transcript is spliced from 3 exons.
CUUUGACAGCUUUAAAGGAAUUUGCCCUGGGGAGGAAGACAGCUGCUUGCCCUGAUGAGGGAUUUUUCUGAGCAGGCCUCCCAAGCCAGACAUGUCAGUGUGAGAUGCUGCCUGCAUUUUUCAUCGUGACCAACAGAUUGUCAAACUACAAUCAAAAGCACUUACUACGAAUGGAACUAUCCCUGUCAUGAGAUUUGAACUCCUGACAUCUUUAUCCACUGAAACUUGAGUGCCCAGGACACAGCAGAGAGGGGAUUUUGGGAGCAUUUCACAAGGCUGCGGCUGUGAGCUGGUUUCAGCAUGAGGAAAAGCCCUCCAUCACCCCAAUGCACAGGAAAGAGAAGGUAAGGCAACCCUCUCUGGGGGGCUGAUAGAUAUGAUGUACUCAGUGGAGAGCCCUAGACCAGCAAAAUCUAUUCCAUCAGUGGAUACUGAUGUCACUAAGGACAGCUUGAGGACAGUAGAGCCAUGCAGAGCCUGAGCUGCAGGAGGGCAGCAGGUCCUGAGGGGUCUGCUGACCCCUCUGCUGCUCUGGCCCAGUUUGUCUGGGGGAAGAUCCCAACUCUUUCCACCUACUCUACCCACUCCCCAUAUCCCUGGAAGGAGGUG